Xiphophorus maculatus (southern platyfish) is the source of this 612-nucleotide long non-coding RNA. RefSeq lists it as uncharacterized. The transcript is spliced from 4 exons. The record is from RefSeq and is a predicted model, not a curated record. Lineage: Eukaryota; Metazoa; Chordata; Actinopteri; Cyprinodontiformes; Poeciliidae.
CAAGGAGGAGCAAGGCGUGUCUGUGCUUCAUGGUAUAAUGAUGGACUACCAUUAUUGGCAUGCUGGUAGAAGCUUGGGACCUAAACCGAAGAGUAAAUGAGCAAAAAUCCAAAAAUGCAAGUUCUGAGAAUGUGGAUUGUGAUCAUUUGUGUGAGCGGCACAAUUUAUUCAGAGGAAACCCAAGAAUUAUUGCAUGACCUGAAUGCAAUCCUGGAAAUAAACUCUGACGCACCUGAAAUAGAAAUGGCUACCAGUCAUUCAUCAGGGACUGAUUCAGGGGAGAGGAUUUUGGAUCAGCUUAUCACUGGAACAGAAGUGCAGCCCCAACUGGAAUCAGAAAGAAAGACGGAUCAGAGGAAAGCUGAUCCUAAAAAGCUAGAGGUUGUCAGAGGAAGGAGAAGUGCUUGGGGCAGGAGAAGACACGCUGCUACAGUAGAGGCCGCUGCAUAUCAAAUAGCCGGAUUAAGGCAACCUCUGAAAGGCUGGAGACAGAGUGCUAAGGGAGAGAUGGAAACUAGCCUCCUUAUGGCGACACUGAAGGAACUUCAUGCGGAAAAGAAACGACUGAUGGAUAAUGGAAAAACACAAGAGGAAGAGGAGGAGGAAGGUGAG